UCUUUCAUUCUAGUGGGGUCUUUAUUAUUUGGAAAAAUAAAAAUGAUCUGGGGCUCUCUCCAUUCUCACCCCAAAUUUUGGAGUAGGUAAUGGCUGUCUACCACCUGGUCCAACAUAUGCCCCCAAACUAAAACAAACACACUCAUUUGCCAUACAAAUUGUUUACGAUUCAUUAAAAAGCAAAAUUGCAUAUCCCUGUGCUGGCCGCUGAGGCCGAGCCUCCACGGCGGAGGGGGCAUUCACUGAGUUGCCUUUGUAUGCUGGGAGGACCAAGCCGCUUCCCACUCUGCAGCCCGGAGGAGCCUGUGUAGCCAGAUGACGCAUGAGAGAAAAGUUUGCUGACCCCUGGCCUAGUGAAUGAAGCUUAGAGCUUGAAGUUUUACAGGCUUGGAUUCAAAUUCUGAUCUUACAUCUAUGGACAGACGCUUCCUUGUACAGCUGUUCCUGGGGACUGAGCAGUUUGAAGUUUCCAAAGAUGAAAACAUAUUGAAACAUCCAUCUUCUCUGUGGUAUUCAGUGAAGGCCACCCUUACAACUUAAAGGACAAGAGGAACUGAAAACUUAUGUCUACACAAAAACCUGAACACAGAUGUGUAUAGCAGCUUCAUUCAUAUUGCUGAAACUUGGAAGCAACUAAGAUGGUCUUCAGCAGGUUAUUGUGAAGACCAUGUGAGUACAUGCAUAAGGAAGGACCAUGAAUAUACAAUAUGGUUUAAGUGCCUCGGUUACUAUGUUCCUACCACAAUCCUUUAGGAGCAGCCAUCGCAAGCCACCUGUUUUACAGGUUGAGGAAACUGAGGUCCAGAAAUUGACUCAGGAAGAGAAGAGGGGUGGAAUAUAUUGCAGUCACCCUCAGAGAGCCCCCAACAACCACCUUUCACUUAAUUUGGCAAUAUUCUAUUGGACAAGUCAAGUGAUACCCACAAUGCAAGAAGCUGAGUCCCUUUGAAGACUUAUAGAAUAUGAGUCUGCCAGAGUCCCAGAAAGAAACAGAUGGCAUACUCAACCUGGAUGAUUAGAGAAGAAUUGAAUAAAGGAUUCAUUUAUAAAGCCCCCUGACUCCUUGAGGUUGACAUCCAUCACUGUAAGAUAUGGCACCAUAUAGAUAUCCUUCAUGCAUUGUCUUCACCAAGAUAAGUACCAUAUUUGCUUGAUUCAAUGUGAUAUUCUCACUGUUUUUCACAGUGCUUGGUACAUAGUUAUAGCUCAACAAUUAUUUUUCAUAAAAUUAAAAUCUCCCUCUUGGAGAUUUUACUCCUCUUCUCAUAGUCAGCCCCUCUUACCUUCCCUGCCUCCACCUCCAAUGCUGAGUACAUACUCUGAGUGACGUUGCCUAGGGGACUUUUAAAAGUGAAAUGGGAAGGGGACUAAGCUCUCAUGUCAUAAAACUUUCCAUUUUACAGACAAGGAAACUGAGACCUAAAAGGGAAGAAGACUUAUCUAAAGUCAUAAGGAGUAUUAGAGCAUUAGAAAAUGAAGCCCUUGUCUCCUUUGUUUGCCGUCAUAUUAUAACCCCAACUUUAGAUUUUGAUUCAGUGUCUUUCAACCUUUUUUUUUUUUUAGGGCCCUAUGUGCUACAUAUGGAAGUUCCAAGGCUAAUGGUUGAAUUGGAGCUGCAGCUGCUAGCCGACACCAUGGCUACAGCAACAUGGGAUCCAAGCA
Non-coding RNA from Sus scrofa (pig), 1662 nucleotides. NCBI's taxonomy places the organism in Eukaryota, Metazoa, Chordata, Mammalia, Artiodactyla, Suidae. The record is from RefSeq and is a predicted model, not a curated record.